AUUGAACGCUGGCGGCAUGCCUUACACAUGCAAGUCGAACGGCAGCGCGGACUUCGGUCUGGCGGCGAGUGGCGAACGGGUGAGUAAUGUAUCGGAACGUACCAUUGAGUGGGGGAUAACGUAGCGAAAGUUACGCUAAUACCGCAUAUUCUCUCCGGAGGAAAGCAGGGGACCGCAAGGCCUUGCGCUCUUUGAGCGGCCGAUAUCAGAUUAGCUAGUUGGUGGGGUAAAAGCUCACCAAGGCGACGAUCUGUAGCGGGUCUGAGAGGAUGAUACGCCACACUGAAACUGAGACAAGGUCCAGACUCUGACGGGAGGCAGCAGUGGGGAAUUUUGGACAAUGGGGGCAACCCUGAUCCAGCCAUGCCGCGUGAGUGAAGAAGGCCUUCGGGUUGUAAAGCUCUUUCGGCCGGGAAAAAAUCGCAUGGAUUAAUACUCUGUGUGGAUGAUGGUACCGGAAUAAGAAGCACCGGCUAACUACGUGCCAGCCGCCGCAGUAA
Molecule: ribosomal RNA, 500 nt
Filed under: uncultured bacterium
Lineage: Bacteria
Description: partial 16S ribosomal RNA
Rfam family: Bacterial small subunit ribosomal RNA
Source: RNAcentral